GAUGAAGAACGCAGUGAAAUGCGAUAAGUAAUGUGAAUUGCAGAAUUCAGUGAAUCAUCGAAUCUUUGAACGCGCAUUGCGCCCGCUAGUAUUCUGGCGGGCAUGCCUGUCCGAGCGUCAUUUCAACCCUCAAGCCCCCGGGCUUGGUGUUGGGGAUCGGCGAGCCUCCGCGCCCGCCGUCCCCUAAAUCUAGUGGCGGUCUCGCUGUAGCUUCCUCUGCGUAGUAGCACACCUCGCACUGGGAAACAGCGCGGCCACGCCGUUAAACCCCCAACUUCUGAACGUUUGACCUCGGAUCAGGUAGGAAUACCCGCUGAACUUAAGCAUAUCAAUAAGCGGAGGA
This 343-nucleotide unclassified non-coding RNA is filed under the name soil metagenome. Its description in RNAcentral is "partial contains 5.8S ribosomal RNA, internal transcribed spacer 2, and large subunit ribosomal RNA". The stretch from base 1 to 120 matches the Rfam family "5.8S ribosomal RNA", at positions 35 to 154 of the family's 154-position model. The record is from RNAcentral.